Molecule: long non-coding RNA, 433 nt
Organism: Lepidothrix coronata (blue-crowned manakin)
Lineage: Eukaryota; Metazoa; Chordata; Aves; Passeriformes; Pipridae
Exons: 3
Source: RefSeq, a predicted model, not a curated record
GGCAACCGCACGGCCUAUACCUCUCAGAGCAGCCUGAGCCCUCCGACAGGGGGAACGGACCCGAGCCCCUCUGGGACCCCCCCGUGUCCUCCUCGAGGCGCAGUCCUCGCUAUGACCCCUCCUCCCCGCUGGGACCCUGUGGUGGGUUGACCUUGGCUGGAUGCCAGGUGCCCACCCAGCCGCUCUAUCACUCCCCUUUCCAGCGGGACAGUGACUGAGGAGAGUCAUGAAGAACCAGCCUUCAGAAACUUUGUGCAGGACAUGCGGAUGAAAUGCCAGAGGAGAAGCAACCCAAAGGAAUGAGACCUUCAGAAACAGAAGUAACUGUUGGUCCAAUGAGUUAAAGGUCUUGCAGCCAACUGACUGCACAUUUGGCCAUCUGCCACUGUGGCUUCCUGAAGCUGAAGGAACCAAACAGUUUCUUUUCCUGCAA